GUAAGGAUGCGUAGGCGGAUAAUCAAGUCAAAAGUGAAAUCCCACGGAAAAACCGUGGAACUGCUUUCGAAACUGGUUAUCUAGAAUAUGGAAGAGGCAGAUGGAAUUAGUGGUGUAGGGGUAAAAUCCGUAGAGAUCACUAGGAAUACCGAUUGCGAAGGCGAUCUGCUGGGACAUUAUUGACGCUGAGGCAUGAAAGCGUGGGGAGCAAACAGGAUUAGAUACCCUGGUAGUCCACGCCCUAAACGAUGUACACUAGUUGUUGCGAUGCUCGUCAUUGCAGUAAUACAGUUAACACAUUAAGUGUACCGCCUGGGGAGUACGGUCGCAAGAUUAAAACUCAAAGGAAUAGACGGGGACCCGCACAAGCGGUGGAGCAUGUGGUUUAAUUCGAAGAUACGCGAAGAACCUUACCUAGACUUGAAAUCCUUGGAAUCUUUCAGAGAUGAGAGAGUGCUAGUUUACUAGAACCAAGUGACAGGUGCUGCACGGCUGUCGUCAGCUCGUGUCGUGAGAUGUUGGGUUAAGUCCCGCAACGAGCGCAACCCUCGUGAUUAGUUGCUAACAGUUCGGCUGAGCACUCUAAUCAGACUGCCUUCGUAAGGAGGAGGAAGGUGAGGACGACGUCAAGUCAUCAUGGCCCUUAUGUCUAGGGCUACACACGUGCUACAAUGGUUGGGACAAAGAGCAGCGAUACCGCGAGGUGGAGCAAAUCUUAAAACCCAAUCUCAGUUCGGAUAGGAGUCUGCAACUCGACUCCUUGAAGCUGGAAUCGCUAGUAAUCGUAGAUCAGCAAUGCUACGGUGAAUACGUU
RNAcentral lists this ribosomal RNA (814 nucleotides) under uncultured bacterium. RNAcentral describes it as "bacterial SSU rRNA". It matches the Rfam family "Bacterial small subunit ribosomal RNA", at positions 561 to 1372 of the family's 1533-position model. The record is from RNAcentral.